RNAcentral lists this transfer RNA (73 nucleotides) under Anaerosporomusa subterranea. It matches the Rfam family "tRNA". From Rfam's summary of the family: Transfer RNA (tRNA) molecules are approximately 80 nucleotides in length. Their secondary structure includes four short double-helical elements and three loops (D, anti-codon, and T loops). Further hydrogen bonds mediate the characteristic L-shaped molecular structure. tRNAs have two regions of fundamental functional importance: the anti-codon, which is responsible for specific mRNA codon recognition, and the 3' end, to which the tRNAs corresponding amino acid is attached (by aminoacyl-tRNA synthetases). tRNAs cope with the degeneracy of the genetic code in two manners: having more than one tRNA (with a specific anti-codon) for a particular amino acid; and 'wobble' base-pairing, i.e. permitting non-standard base-pairing at the 3rd anti-codon position. The record is from Rfam by way of RNAcentral. Lineage: Bacteria; Bacillati; Bacillota; Negativicutes; Acetonemataceae.
AGGGGUGUAGCUCAACUGGUAGAGUAGCGGUCUCCAAAACCGUUGGUUGCGGGUUCGAUUCCUGCCGCCCCUG